This 1531-nucleotide long non-coding RNA is filed under the name Vulpes vulpes (red fox). RNAcentral describes it as "lncRNA (ENSVVUG00000014720.1)". Lineage: Eukaryota; Metazoa; Chordata; Mammalia; Carnivora; Canidae. The record is from RNAcentral.
UCUUCACGCAGCUACCUGUUUUCUUUCUUUUUUUUAGCUACCUGUUUUCUGAAAGGAAAUAGCACCGUCCCUUGGGGUGCUCAUGCUGGAGUUGAUAGGAUGGGACAUACACAUGGAAAAUGCUGGAAAAUAGACUUAUGUGACCCGGCCACAUGUGAGCUCGUGUUGUGCAGGGGCGUAGCAUCUUGUCCACACACUAUAGAGACAGCCCGGAACCCCAGGGCUCCCAUUCGGAAGAUGGGGUCGAACUUGCAGGGAAAAUCCAUCCACCCUGGGAGGCUGGAGGAGGAAAGGAGUGCUGUGUAUGGGCUCACCUGGGCUGGCCCCGGAGGCUUCUGGAGGUGGUCUCCGGCUUGGAGCGUCAGAUGGGUGACCACAGUCUCGGGCUGGCUCGGGGAAGGGUGCCGGAUGCACCCGGUGGGCCAGAUGACUUCUACAGAACCCUGUCCCCGACUCCCAGCCAAGCUUCCUCCCCCCGGGUCUGUACCACCUUCUCGACGAAGCAGGUGCUUUAUCACUUCCAAGGAUUGAUGCACGCAGCCUCGGGUGGCUGGCCCGGAGAGAGAAGUUCAGUUCGCAGGGAGGUGGUGGCUGGCAUUUCGGCCUGUCAGGGCCGAGCAACAGAGGAGUGGCAGCCACGUCCUGGAUCCGCAGUCUCCGCGAAUCGCACUUGGGGAGAGCAUCGCGUGGAGCCCAGCGCCCCCGGCAGGCCUGAUUUACCCGCACAAGGACCCCUGGGCCUGCAGGGUUCCAUUCUGCAGACCCUUACGUGCUGCGGCCUUUGUUGCUGAGAGGAGCCUAUAGCCUGCAGCCUGUGCCUCUCUACUAGAAGGGUGAUCUUCAGCCAGCGGGAACAGAUGGCCCCUCACAGGAUCCAACUGAGCAGAGCUUGCAGAAGGGGCGACUCCCGGAGGUGUGCGCAGGGGUGACGGUGUGCCCAGGGGCUCUUGCAGAGGGCUUGUCGAACAGUAGAUGAACUUCGCGGGGUGCAGAGCAGCAGAGAGAAAGGUGGAGGGUGGAUCUGGAGGGCAAAGGCUAGUUCAUGGGACCUUUCUGUGCCUCAGUUUCCCCAUUUGUAAGAUGGUGGUGAUAACACCUGCGCCAUAGAGCUAUUGUCAGAAUUAAACGGAUCAAUCAGUGUCUGGAUCUGUACUGAUUGUUCAGAGCAGUGCCUGGCACUGUGUUCGCUGUUAGCUGUGUUGGUACCAUGCUCCCACACACAUGGGUUCCCGUCUUCUAGGCCCCCGAGUUUCCUUCUCUUUUAUCUAAAUCCGGCUCCUGCCACCUGGCUCUUGGAAAGGGGCUAUUGGUCGGCUCACACUAAGGUGUACACAACUGAUAGGCUUCAGGAGUUCUCUCUGCCCGGGGGCAUUCGCAUGUUAUAGGAGGCUCUGCAUCCUCCGGAGCUUAAGGCUCUAACUCCAGACCCCAGGUCUUUGGUAACUGAAGCAAAGGCAGGAGAAUGGCCUCCUCUUCCUACACUGAAUAGUAACAACCAGCAGGGAGAUAUUGGGGUGAACGCCAGCUUCCC